RNAcentral lists this unclassified non-coding RNA (256 nucleotides) under Hevea brasiliensis (rubber tree). The record is from RNAcentral. Lineage: Eukaryota; Viridiplantae; Streptophyta; Magnoliopsida; Malpighiales; Euphorbiaceae.
GAAAGGGUUCCUCCAUGGAAAUCAGUGUUCUUAUCAUCUGGGUUUUGUCCAUUGACAUUCAGUAAUUUCACGGAAUCACAGGCAGAGUGUCUGCUGCAGCGGACGCCGGUUCAAGGAUUUCAUAUCGACAAGAGACACUCCUCGCUUGUUCUUUGCUGGCAUCGGAAGGAGCUCGUUUCAAUCUCUGCUUGGAGGUCUUAAUUUUUCAUUUUUCUGUCCUUUUAAACUUGUCUCAUCAACAUCAAAUUUAUAAUUG